Non-coding RNA from Dermatophagoides farinae (American house dust mite), 1707 nucleotides. The record is from RefSeq and is a predicted model, not a curated record. NCBI's taxonomy places the organism in Eukaryota, Metazoa, Arthropoda, Arachnida, Sarcoptiformes, Pyroglyphidae.
UUAAAAAUUGAUGUAGAAGUUUGAUACAGCUCAGGCUGUCGAUAAUCUUGGUCCAAAGACCACAUUUAUUGUCAUCUUCAAAUUAGAUAAUUACAAGCAUAUAUUUUUUAACCAAAUCAAAAAUUGACUGUCGCAGCCAAAAACAUGUUCGAAAUUCGAACCCCCAAAACAAAGAGCCGAGAACCAUCCACUCGAUCUGCUUCUGCGCUGUUGUUUCUUAGUUUAUUUUUCUACAUUGAUAAAUAUAAAAUUAAUAUAUAAAUAAUAAUAAUCAAUCAACAAACCAGAAGAAAUUGUCAGGAUGCAAAACUUCAAGUAUUAAUCAACAAAAACCUCAAAACAGCUUAGAUUGAUAUCCAAAAAGCAUUAGAUUCUGUUCCACACACAUACCUUUUAGACUGCUUAAGAGCGGCCAACAUACCAACAAACCUGAUAAAAUUUGUAGAAAGAACUUUGGAAUUCCAAAAAACCAAUCUCCAAUUAAACAAUGAAAAUAUUGGAGCAGUGAUGAUGAUAACCAAAUGACCAGUCUUCCACUAAAUGAUCCCGCAACAUGUGAUGAUGAUAUCCAAAUGUUCUUUGAUCCAAUUAAUAACGGAUGUUUGAAUAGUGUUGAUCAAUUUGAUGAUCAAGAUUCUGUAUCAACUGACUCUGAAACAAAUGAAUUUAGCGACGAAUAUUUAACCGAUGAAAAUGAAAGUUUAUUUUUCAGAAAAUUGGAAUCGACUUUAUCAAAUUCAAAUAUGCAAAUGUUUGAAAAGUUUGGCAAAAACAUCAUUAAUACCCGAAUAACGCGAAACAUAAGGUAUGGUACGUUUAAUAUGAUUCUUGUACCUUGUGUUGCGACGUAUAAUUGUUCAAAGUUUCACAAAAAUAUUCCAAGUGGCGGCUGUUCAGGAGCGAUUUGAAGAAAAUGUUAUCCCAUGAUAGUCUUUGAUACAAAGUGAAUCAAAUAUUCAGAGUGAUAACGAUAUAAAAUGUUAUCGCGACGGGUUAGUGUUUAAUAACACCCUAAUUGCAUAAGAUUAUCAUUAUUUAUCGACCAAUGCGAGCCAUGUUCAGCUCUUGGAGCACGAGCCACCAAAAACAAGAUAAUAAUUCAACGUUGGUGACUGUUUUUCCGGUCAUAUUUGCCAAAUAUUCAGAUAUUAAGGAUAAUUAUUCAGCAUUUUUUGGCAAUUUGGUCGAUGAUUUAAAUAAACUUUAUCAAGAUGGCCACACGAUGGAUUUAUCUGAUGGAACUCAGUAUAAAUUUCAUGCGAUCUUAGCUUCCGUUGUGGCUGACUCUCUGGCUUACCAUCAUGUUUUUGGAUUGAUGAGGGAAUCACCGAUUUGUCAUUCAAAAAUGGAUCAUCAUGCUGAAAUUUAUCAUGAAUCACUACCAUCACUUUAAGGAUAAGAUAAAAAACUUUCUUCUUUUUGAAUUCAUAUCUUAUAUGAAAAUGGCUUGUUUUAGAGGAUUUUUCACUUUUUUCGCUGUUAAUCGAUCCAAUGAUUGUCGCGACGAGAAACGUCCUUCAUGAACGGUCCCGCUGUUUGGCGCUAUUUGACAAUACACGAAUAGUUAGCGAGCAAAAACCCAUUGUCCAACGAAAAUUUGUGUGCACGUACAUGUGUUCUUUGUUUUGUAAUUCAUGUACUGUUUUUUGUGUGCUUUUGAAUUUUGAUUAAUAUACAAUCAUUAAUAAACCAUUUUUAAAUAAUUAA